AAGAGGGGCAUAUGCCUCGGAGACUAUGUUCCCCAAGCAGCUUUGUGAGCCUUGGGAGACCAGCUCAGGAUGAAGCCUUGUCUUCUGUUAUCCAUUGCUGCCUAUCUACAGGUAAUAUUCCAACAUUGCCACAAGGUUCGAGGGUGACACAUCUCACACAUGUACGUGAACAACCAAUCAUCAUGCUCAUGAACUACAAAAGGAUCAGAAAUGUGAAGAAUAAAAAGUUCAGAAGCCAUUUGUAUUCAAAUAGAAUGCAAUUAAAAAGUCCCAGGCAAGCAUUAUAAGCUCAUAAACAAGAGAGCUAGCAAGAAGAAAAAAAUCAAGAAGCAAAUCUUGAAGCAAGUUAUAACCUGCCAGAUGUGACAAAGGUGAUAGAAAAUCAGAAAAGAACAAAAAAAGUUAUGACCGUUAAUUAGCAUAUGGAAAAAGAUAAUCAGAGGCCCCCAAGGAAGCUGGAUUAUUAAAAAUGCGACCUCCAUUUCAACAAAGAAAUUCCAGGCAGUGACACGGUUUUGAAUUUAUAAUGAGGAUUGAUGAAUAGAAGAGAAUUGGAUAUUUCAAGAAACAAAGAAAUACAUGAGUUGAAGCUACAGUUAACAAAAAAAAGUGAUCUUUCAACACAGUGGGCCUGAGAACAGCGGUGUCUAGAACCUGUGCUGAAGAUCAUGUUUCCGGCUGACAGCCUCUUACUUGAGACAGUGAGAUUACUGCAUGGACAUGGCACAUGGAGAGGGCCUUCCACACCAUUGAUGAUUGCUGCAACCUGAAAUUGAUUUUACUCCAUGAGACGCUGUGGAUGUGGGAAGACGGUGUUUCUGCCGGGUUGACAGAAGAUGUGGCACAAUGUCCUAGUGUUCGACCAUCCACCGCAUGUGCAGCUCCAGGUAGCUGCUGGCAGCCAUGACACUGGCUUCCACUAUCAGAGGAAGAGGUGCAAAGUAAGAUGAUUUGAGAAUGUUUUCAACUCUAAAAAGCUGUUUUCUUGUAGAGGGCUAUGCUAUGGUGACAAGCCCUGCACCAGAAGGGGAUGGUUGCAGCAACUACUCUGCCAUAUUAGCUGAACUCCUUGAAAUUUCUCACAUACUGAAUUUCUCCCACCAGCUGGAAUAUCAUUCCAGCCAGUGUUGACAUAAGCCAUAACUGCUAGCUGCAGCCGAGUCCUGCAGCCUGACCCACUGUAUUGGAGAAGUGACACUAAAUGUUGUGGGGAAGAUUCUGCUGGCUUGAGGAUAACUGUCAUGUGCUUUCUCGAGGCUUUACAGAAGUUAUUGGGUGGUUUCAGCCUCACCUGGCCCUGAGAGACUACACGCACAGUGCCUGUGAAGUGUUUCCCAGAGGACAAACCCACAAGGUUAACAGCCCUUACUCUGUUACUUGCAGGAAGAGAAACAGCCCUAACCUCAUCUUGGGAAGCGUAACACUCACAGGUUGCUCUCUCUCCAAGUGCCCCUUCUGUUGGAAGACAUGGUUUUUAAUCAUUUAUGGAAGAUUAGCUGUGUUCCUGGUGGUCUCAUAAGCACAAAGCUCACUUUGUGCUUUUAACUUCACCUAUAUUCAGGUAAAACUUCCUCAGAGAGCACGAGGCAAUGUGAAAAGCAGCAAAGAUCAGCAUUUGUAGCGAAUGUCAAAGCCAAGGAAACUGAACUUCAGGCAGAGUACCUGUUAGAGCCGAUAGAAUGAUGAGUACAAAUGCAAGCAUUUUUAUGCCCCUUAUAGAAAUUCUAAAUCAUUGAUAAGGAAUUACUGUG
RNAcentral lists this long non-coding RNA (1751 nucleotides) under Homo sapiens (human). Its description in RNAcentral is "long non-coding RNA NONHSAT199939.1". Lineage: Eukaryota; Metazoa; Chordata; Mammalia; Primates; Hominidae. The record is from RNAcentral.